CCCAGUUCCGGCGUCCCUGCCUAAGUGUUUUUAUGUCUGGUUUCCAUUUGGUUGUAACUGUCGCGAACGUGUCGUGAAGUGUCCUUUGUCCCCCCGUGAUUAUCGCAAACUGUUAUCACGCUAUAAUAGUUUUGUUUGUGGAAACACCACGUAAACUUAUUACUGCAAAGCUUAUAAAGUUAAUGAAUAAUUUAACUGUUCGCCAUGCAAACAUACAAAGAACUUAUUGUUAUUACGCUGUCGUAACGUUGUUCUGUUUCCAUCACAACUAACCCUUACGACACGCUUUAAGCCUGUCGCAACUAUCGUCGAGAUAGAACUCGAGCACUACUUUGCAACGCGAACACUACUUUGCCGACAGUUACAACACGUUCGCGACAGUUACGACCUUAUGGAAACCAGGCUUGAUAGACCGACUUAUACUGAAGACAUAUAAUUGAUAAAUCAUCCGUCAAACUUCGACGAACCACGAAGAUUCGGUAGGGAAGCCAACCAACCCAGCCGCAUCCCAAAAAAACACAUUUGGGUCGGCAGAAAAAAAUAGGGUCAGUUGGGAAAUCGGAAACACAGGAUAUUUUUUGUUAGGCCUGAGGAAGUUUUUAAAAAAACAGGAAAACAGUAAAUUAGCCUGGAUUAGAAAGAUAUAAAUAAUAUCGUAGCAGACAAAAUGUAUUUGCCACACGCUGCAUGUUGUGAAACGUGUUAUCUGCCGUGUAUAGUGGUUUUCAAUGAUAAUGCAUAAUAUAUACACUACUAGAUCAGUGUUGGUGAAGCAAAUGUUGUAGAUAGUUAUUUGAAAACAAUAUGCGUUUGUUAAACUUAAACUAUUGGUUAUAUCGUCAUGUUUCGCGGUCGACAGCUAGGGUGCUUGACAUUUAUUUACCAGACCACCAUUUCUGUCUGUAUUGUUGGAAUGAUCUCGUCCAAGUUUUUCGAAAUUCUGGUCAAAAUGAACCUCGU
Paramuricea clavata is the source of this 960-nucleotide non-coding RNA. The record is from the annotation of a GenBank genome assembly. NCBI's taxonomy places the organism in Eukaryota, Metazoa, Cnidaria, Anthozoa, Malacalcyonacea, Plexauridae.